Molecule: RNA transcript, 3922 nt
Organism: Dicentrarchus labrax (European seabass)
Lineage: Eukaryota; Metazoa; Chordata; Actinopteri; Moronidae
Gene: esrp2
Gene name: epithelial splicing regulatory protein 2
Exons: 17
Source: RefSeq, a predicted model, not a curated record
UCUCUGACCGCAAACUCUUCCGUGGCUCCUCUGAAAAUAAUCUCCCCCUUUUUUUUUCUCUCUCCGUUUACCUCAAUUGAGUUUCCAGCGCUUUUGUUCGCUCUUCUUAUCACUUGGAAAAAGGUGAACCCUCGUGUUAUUUUUUUAUUUUAAUCUUUGCUUUAAUUGUAGUUUUUACCCUUGUGGUCCCUGAUGGCUUCGCACAGUGAUACUCUGGUGGUGUUCUUUGGGGCAACAGCUGGUGCAAAUGGGGGUAAACUGGGUUCGGAUGAGAGGGAAAUAAUUCUCUUGGUGUGGCAAAUUGUGGAUCUACAUGAGAAAAAGGUUGGGAAGCUUCAGAGAUGUCUUGUCAAGCCAGACACUUUGGAGCUGACAGACCAGUGUAAAGAGGAGACAGGACUGACUCUGGACGAGGUCGUCAAAGCUGAGCCCCUGGAUAAAGUUCUGCAGCAGUUCCAACAGUCAGUGUCAUCAGAACUGAAAUGCCUCGGCAGGAGCACUUACACACUUUGUGUCAACAGUCCCCUUGUCAUCCGACAGGCCCUCCACCCCGAAGCUUCCAAAAAGAAUCUUGUCCUUCCUGAAUGUUUCUUCUCAUUUGUGGACGUCAGGAAGGAGUUUCACAAAUGCUGCCCCAAUGCCGGCCCUGUGCAAAAGCUCGAACUCCCCUCCAUGUUGGAAUAUGUUGGUCUUCCUGCUGUGUCAGAGCAGUUGAUGGGCGUGAGGGAGGUGAGCAGUAUGGUGCAGCUGACACUCUGCAUCCUGGCAGAGCCCUACAAUCACAAGUUCUCCUCUGUUGAAACAGUGAAGUACAAGUUUGAUUCCGGCACAUGUAGUAAGACAGAGCCUGUGGACAGUGAGACAGUGAUCAGAGCACGGGGGCUUCCAUGGCAGUCCUCAGACCAAGACAUUGCUCGCUUCUUUAAAGGCCUCAGUAUUGCCAAGGGUGGCGUGGCAUUGUGUCUUAACGCUCAGGGCAGGAGAAAUGGCGAGGCCUUAGUUCGUUUCGUCAACUCAGAACACAGGGACCUGGCCCUGGAGCGCCACAAGCACCACAUGGGCAGCCGCUACAUCGAGGUCUACAAGGCCACAGGAGAGGAAUUCCUCAAGAUUGCUGGAGGUACAUCUAACGAGGUGGCCCAGUUCCUGUCCAAAGAGAACCAGGUGAUUAUCCGUAUGCGGGGGUUGCCGUUCACUGCCACCCCCCAGGAAGUGCUGUCCUUCCUUGGUCCCGAGAGCCCAGUUACAGAUGGUGCUGAGGGCCUCCUCUUUGUCAAGUACCCUGAUGGACGACCCACUGGCGAUGCCUUUGUGCUCUUUUCUUGCGAAGAGUACGCCCAGAACGCCCUGAAGAAGCACAAGCAGAUCUUGGGGAAGCGGUAUAUCGAGCUGUUUCGGAGUACUGCGGCUGAGGUGCAACAGGUCCUGAACCGCUAUAUGUCCACGCCUCUGAUCUCCACGCUGCCCCCUUCACCUAUCGUGCCUGUUCCGGUCCUUGCCACGCCUCCCUUCCUUCCAGCAGCCAGCAGCACUCGCGACUGUGUCCGCCUCCGUGGCCUACCCUACACUGCCGGCAUUGAAGAUAUCCUGGAGUUCAUGGGAGAGCACACCGUUGACAUCAAACCCCAUGGAGUCCACAUGGUCCUCAACCAACAGGUUAGACUGGGUCGGCCCUCUGGUGAUGCCUUCAUCCAAAUGAAAUCAUCUGACAAGGCAUUUAUGGUGGCCCAGAAGUGCCAUAAAAAGACCAUGAAGGACCGUUAUGUGGAGGUGUUCCAGUGCUCCACAGAGGAGAUGAGCAUCGUGCUGAUGGGAGGAACCCUGAACCGCAGCGGCCUCUCCCCUCCACCCUGCAAGCUACCCUGUCUGUCUCCCCCCACAGCCUACGCGGCCUUCCCCACCCCGCCUGCCAUUCUCUCUGAGGCUGCUCUCUACCAGCCCCCCCUGCUGGCUGCUCCCAGACCUCCCCAGACCACCACACACAGCCCCGCUCACACUCUGGCUUACUACCCCCCUCACCCACACCUGUACAUGAAUAUGAACAUGAACUACACAGCUUACUACCCCAGCCCCCCAGUUUCUCCUUCCACAGUUAGCUACUUUGCAGCCCCACCGGGAGCAGUGGCAGCCGCAGUGGCAGCCCAGCCUCACCCUGCUGCAGCCGCCUCUCCUGUCCUGCCUCAACAUGGCGCCCUGGUCAGGAUGCAGGGCCUGCCAUACAACACUGGAGUCAAGGACAUUCUUAGCUUCUUCCAGGGAUACCAGUCGAAAUUAGGUGGAGUCCUCUGAAGCAGUACGCCCCUGACGAGUACAGCAGCAUGGUUCAGAUGAGCGAACAGGCCAGGAGUCUGAUUCAGCCCAAAGAAUGGCUCUGUCUUUAGGGACUCACCCCAAGCUCCAGCCAGACGCCGUUCUCAUCUUGUACAACUUCAGUGGCCAGUGCAGUGGCGAGGCCUUGAUCACUUUCCCUAGCGAGGAGAUUGCCAGGCGGGCCGUAGCCGAGCGCUCCAACCACCCCUUCUACGGCCAGCAGGUCCACUUGAUCUUCUGUAACUGACCACUACUCCCUCCUCUCCUUCAGUUUAAUGUCCCAUUGAAGAGCACCCGCCCCCAAAAUACAUCCCUCCAGCAACAGCUUUUUCAUAAAACUGAAUCAAGUUGAUCCCAGUGCCACUUAAAACAUCUAUUGAACCUCUCCCUUUUCUGUGAUCUGCCAUUUGUUGAUCUACAACCGACACUGCUGGCCCCUGACACUCCUGUAGCCGCUGCUGGAGUUCGGACAUCCACUGGAAUAGCAGCUGAAGUCAUUAAAGCUUCACGUGGAUGACUUUGUGGAUGUCACAUGCUGCGUUUCUGUGUAUUUGCAUCUACCGUAAUAGCUGGUUGUGGAGAUGAGAUGGUGUGGAGCCUGGACACACCCAUAUCAGUGGCUCUGCAAAGCCAAAUAUGCAUGUAUAUUUAAAUUCUCCCCGUAAAACUGUACAGAUGUUCAUCCUGAAAUGCUUGAGGCUGUACAAACCACUUCUGCUUACGACCUUUUCUGUAUAUUGUUAAGUUUUCACGCUUAACCACUACAAGAUUUAGAUGCGUUCUCAGAUCUUUUGUGUUCUGCAGCUUUACGCAGACACAGAUGUGUGUAUGUGCAUGCACAAUGUUUAUUGAUCCGAUGGCCUCCAGUAGUGCAGUGCUGACAUUUGAAAGAGACACGACAAAGCCAUCGAGACCUGGGCUACUGAAACAACAGAGAGAAUAUGAAACAGUACUCGACUCAACUUGACUGUCAUUAAUCUGAACCGAACCUUGAGCUGCAGCGACUGUAAAACUACAGCAAUGCCACAGAUGUGCCAACGUACUAAUUAAUUUGUAACUUUAAUAUUUUUCUGUAAAGAGCAUUUAUGUGUGACAUACAGUAUGUCGGCCCAUUUAAACAUUUUUCAAGCACUACAGAUUUAUUUGCUCCAAUCAAAGAGUUAAGCGACAGAGCGUCUUUAACAGAGUAGAAUGACAAAUUGAUUCUAUUUUUAUUAGUCUCAUUUCCUUACCAAAGUGGAGAUUUUGUUAUUAAAUGUAAAAAGGUAGAGGUGUAUCCUGAAGCCUUUGUAAUGAUUGACCUCAGCUACUAGAUCUCUUCUGUUUUGGUUUCCAGACUAUUUCUAAUGAUCAGUCUGUAGCAUGCUUUAAUGACCGGAGUACUGUGUAAAAGCUGCAUGAGUUUUCCUCUGACAGGCCUGCUGACAGCUGUCUUAGGUUUUUCCUCUUUACUGUGCCUACAUUACCCAGAGUGCAAUACUGGCCCAAACAAGGCUAGGGCAACCUCUGGUGGCAGAGGAGAUGUUUGUUUCUUUUGGUGCAAGUUUGAGACUUGUAUGAAUUUAGAUCUGUGUAUAAGACCGUAAACAACAAUAAAAAAUGUUGACAAUGA